GGCAGUUCUCAGGUGAUGCACCCCAGAAUUGGGCUCCUUACUCUCUGGUACAGGAUGUGUCACCUGAGAACCGCA
Molecule: non-coding RNA, 75 nt
Organism: Myotis davidii
Lineage: Eukaryota; Metazoa; Chordata; Mammalia; Chiroptera; Vespertilionidae
Source: Rfam